Molecule: transfer RNA, 77 nt
Filed under: Planctomycetota bacterium
Lineage: Bacteria; Pseudomonadati; Planctomycetota
Description: tRNA-Pro
Rfam family: tRNA
About the family: Transfer RNA (tRNA) molecules are approximately 80 nucleotides in length. Their secondary structure includes four short double-helical elements and three loops (D, anti-codon, and T loops).
Source: RNAcentral
CGGGGUGUGGCGCAGCUUGGUAGCGCGUCUGCUUUGGGAGCAGAAGGUCGCUGGUUCGAAUCCAGUCACCCCGACCA